GACGAACGCUGGCGGCGUGCUUAACACAUGCAAGUCGAACGGUGAACGAGGGAGCUUGCUCCCUCCGGAUCAGUGGCGAACGGGUGAGUAACACGUGAGCAAUCUGCCCCGAACUCUGGGAUAAGCGUUGGAAACGACGUCUAAUACCGGAUACGACGCGGGAGGGCAUCCUCUCCGCGUGGAAAGAACUUCGGUUCGGGAUGAGCUCGCGGCCUAUCAGCUUGUUGGUGAGGUAACGGCUCACCAAGGCGACGACGGGUAGCCGGCCUGAGAGGGUGACCGGCCACACUGGGACUGAGACACGGCCCAGACUCCUACGGGAGGCAGCAGUGGGGAAUAUUGCACAAUGGGCGCAAGCCUGAUGCAGCAACGCCGCGUGAGGGACGACGGCCUUCGGGUGGUAAACCUCUUUUAGCAGGGAAGAAGCGAAAGUGACGGUACCUGCAGAAAAAGCACCGGCGAACUACGU
Molecule: ribosomal RNA, 469 nt
Filed under: uncultured bacterium
Lineage: Bacteria
Description: partial 16S ribosomal RNA
Rfam family: Bacterial small subunit ribosomal RNA
Source: RNAcentral